GUAGGUCACAAGCGUUGUCCGGAAUUACUGGGUGUAAAGGGAGCGCAGGCGGGAAGACAAGUUGGGAGUGAAAUCUAUGGGCUCAACCCAUAAACUGCUUUCAAAACUGUUUUUCUUGAGUAGUGCAGAGGUAGGCGGAAUUCCCGGUGUAGCGGUGGAAUGCGUAGAUAUCGGGAGGAACACCAGUGGCGAAGGCGGCCUACUGGGCACCAACUGACGCUGAGGCUCGAAAGUGUGGGGAGC
Molecule: ribosomal RNA, 243 nt
Filed under: uncultured bacterium
Lineage: Bacteria
Description: partial 16S ribosomal RNA
Rfam family: Bacterial small subunit ribosomal RNA
Source: RNAcentral